Molecule: RNA transcript, 2407 nt
Organism: Trifolium pratense (red clover)
Lineage: Eukaryota; Viridiplantae; Streptophyta; Magnoliopsida; Fabales; Fabaceae
Exons: 4
Source: RefSeq, a predicted model, not a curated record
ACAUUGAGGAGACAAAACAGGGAUCACAAUAGGACCACUAUAGAAGAAGCAACAACAACAUGGUUCACGCUAAAACAAAUUUGGUUCAAGCUAAAACAACAUGGUUCAUUGCACUAAAAAACACAAAUUUCAUUCCUGAAAAUUAACAAGUGAGAAUAAACCCUUACAAAUUUAUAAAAGUUAGAACGAAAAACAGUGAAAAACGUACCUUAAAACAACGACGACAACCGGAAUUGGAGCGUAUAGUUGGCGCUAGGGUUUUCAGAUUGAGAUGAUUUAAGAGAGUUGAUCGAGAAGAGAGAUAUAAGCGUAAAAGUAGCUUUUGGAUUUUAGGGUUUUAAAGAACAUUUAACGGAAAAGAUAACGGAGGACUAAAUUGAUGGAUGGAAAAUAGUUUAGGGACCUAAUUGAUGGAUGAAAAAUAGUUUAGGGACCUUUUAGUUGGUUUUAAUAGUUUAGGGACUGAGUUGGUGAGAGAGUGAUAGUUUAGGGACUAAAUUGACUAAUUAGUGCAUUAGUAUUGGUCCCCAACGUUACAAUUUCCUCUUCAUUUGGCUGAAGCUUGUUUUUAUAUACGAACAGUAAUUUAGAAAGCAAUACAACAUAUAUAUUUCAUUCUUCUUUGUUUCAAGUAAGAAAUACACAUAACAAGAAUUCAUAAAAAUAAAAACACCACUCUCUCUUGAAGCCUUGUUGUAUACACAAAAUUCUCUUCUCUUCCACAUAAUUUUUCCAUCAAAAUAAAUUAUUCUUUCUUUUGUGUUUCAUUGGUUUUGUGAACUGGUAUUGUUGUACCAGCACUGAUAUUGUUGUAUCAGUGAGAUUGAUAUUGUUGUAUCAAUUUUCGAGUGGUUUUGUAGAACCAUUCAAGAAGGUGUUCCUUCUCCGAUCAUUAUAGUGCAGUAACUGAUCGGUUCUGUGUUGAACAGGGCUGUUUUAUCCUGGGGACGACGCGGUUGGAUUGUCUGCUUUGCACAAUUUGAGCAGUACCGCGAAACGUCUUAAAGAGAGCGACCUAGUACGCGACUCAACCAAUAAAAUCUUCAGUUCUAAUUUUUAGAAAAUUAUUUUUUCAAUAUCAAAAACAACACUUACUCUAUAUUUUCUUAUUCUACUUGUUGAUAUCUUUUCACUUUUAUUUAUUGGUUGUAUUUCUGUUUUCAUCUUAUGUCAAUGGUGUUCUCUUUUUACAGGUUCUUUGAGGGGCAUUUUUCUUGGUAAUUGUUGUUCUUAUUCAUGAUAAUAAUGAUUGAUCACAUAACCCUUCUUUGUAGCGUAGUGUAGUGUAGUGGGCUUAAGGGUUUUAAUUUUAUGUUUAUUAUCAACAAAUUAUUUAGUUUUACACUAGAAAAAUUCUUUGAAUCUGCUUUGUUUGUACAAUGAACAUGUGUUGGUCUCAAUGUUUUGUAUAACUUGCUUUUGUUUUCAAAAUUAUGCAGUGACUCGGAUCUCAGUCCAAAAGACAAAAAUCUUCAUAUUAGAGUAGAGGAAAAAUAACUUGAUAUUAGUUUAAUAUAUAGAGAUUGUGUUCAAUAUUCAUGAUUUUUAAUCAAUCUAUUUACUCAUUCAUUUUUAAUCUUCUCAUUUCAUUAUUGAUUAGUUUUCUUCUUUUCUUAUAACAUGUAAAUAUUGAUUGAUUGGAUUGAAUGAUGCUUGUUCUCUGACAACAACCCCUAGUCCUGUUGUUUUGUGAUCCAGUUACCAAUUUCAUUGGUAGGUCAAUUGUUUAACCAUACUAUGUUUUUUUGUUUGUUUUUUGCUUUCAUCACUUUUUUCAACAUACCUGAUAUUGCAAAUAGGUUGCUUGAGAAAGCAUUAAUAUUUAUCAUCAUCUACGGUAUGUAUGAUAAGUUCUUUGAGAUGCAACCCAAAAAUGCUCUGGAAGAUCUUGAUAUAUACCGAAGGGUGGGGCUACAGAUUUUUAGACACAUGGUGCUUUGUCAUCAUCACAGUUGAUUGCUUCUACUACUGUUUAGCUUUAUUCCAAAAGUUUCUCAACUUCAUGGAUUACAGAUGCUUCUAGUGCCCCGACCAAACAUAUUCUCAAAGUCCAUACAACGAUGAAGAUUGAAAAGAGAGAUUAGAAGUAAACAGUGUAAGCUGUUGCAGCUUAUUGCUCGGUGGGAAUGUCAUGUACUGUGUUGUGGGUUGUGAGCCGUUGCAGUUUAUUGCUUGGUAGGGAUGUCAUAUGGAUGUUUUUGUUGUUGCUAGUUUUUUAGAAGUAACCAAUAGUUCUCUUAAGUUAUUUGGUGCAACUUCAAUUUUGGAAGAUUUAGCCAAGUGACAUUGUUUUGGUGUUUUAAUGUACUCCGCUAGUUUGUAAGACUUUUUAGUUUUUUUAAUAUAAUAAUCAAUGUUUUAAGAACCGAACCGGAGGUCGAGCCGGUGUGGUCACUGGUUCAUGGUU